Molecule: ribosomal RNA, 508 nt
Filed under: uncultured Entrophospora
Lineage: Eukaryota; Fungi; Glomeromycota; Glomeromycetes; Entrophosporales; Entrophosporaceae
Description: SSU rRNA
Rfam family: Eukaryotic small subunit ribosomal RNA
Source: RNAcentral
AGCAGCCGCGGUAAUUCCAGCUCCAAUAGCGUAUAUUAAAGUUGUUGCAGUUAAAAAGCUCGUAGUUGAAUUUCGGGAUUGACGUGAUGGUCGUGCCUUAAGGGGUAUGAACUGUCGCAGUUGAUUUCUCACCUUCUGGAGAAGCAUGAUGUCCUUAAUUGGGUGUCAUGUGGAACCAGGACCUUUACCUUGAAAAAAUUUAGAGUGUUUAAAGCAGGCAUUUUGCUCGAAUACAUUAGCAUGGAAUAAUAGAAUAGGACGGCAUGGUUCUAUUUUGUUGGUUUCUAGGAUCACCGUAAUGAUUAAUAGGGAUAGUUGGGGGGCAUUAGUAUUCAAUUGUCAGAGGUGAAAUUCUUGGAUUAUUGGAAGNCUAACUACUGCGAAAGCAUUUGCCAAGGAUGUUUUCAUUAAUCAAGAACGAAAGUUAGGGGAUCGAAGACGAUCAGAUACCGUCGUAGUCUUAACCAUAAACUAUGCCGACUAGGAAUCAGACGAUGUUAAUUUUUUU